AAAAAGGGACUUCUGCCGUGAGUGGCACAAGACAGGCAGCCUGCUUACUUUACAUGCAGAAUCCACAUCAAGAUAUUUCAGAAGCGUAAUAUUUUGGCAGAUUGGCAGCUAGUGAUCGUUGGUCCUGGUGCCCCC
Sorex fumeus (smoky shrew) is the source of this 135-nucleotide small nuclear RNA. RefSeq annotates it as U11 spliceosomal RNA. The transcript has a single exon. NCBI's taxonomy places the organism in Eukaryota, Metazoa, Chordata, Mammalia, Eulipotyphla, Soricidae. The record is from RefSeq and is a predicted model, not a curated record.